AGUGUAGUGUAGCAUCAAUCAUCAUCAGCAGCUCAGGUGCACGGCGCCAUUAAGGCCUAGUUCGUAAAAAUUUUGGUUUUUAGCUACUGUAGUAUUUUUGUUUUUAUUUGAUAAACAUUGUCCAAUCACAGAGUAACUAGGCUCAAAAGAUUCAUCUCGUCAAAUCCGACCAAACGGUGCAAUUAGUUUUUAUUUUUUUUUCUAUAUUUAAUACUCCAUACAUAUGUCUAAAUAUUCGAUGUAACAAAGAAUCUUAAAUAAUUUUUGGUUUUUGAAUGGAAGUAAACAAGGCCUGACACUCUCACACCAUGACGCAGCACAUGCCUCGUGGAUCACGAUACUGCUGUUUUAGGUCUUGUUUAGUUCGAAAAAAAUUAAAGAUUCUUCGUCAUAUCGAAUCUUUUGUCGUAUGUAUUGAGCAUUAAAUAUAGACGAAAAUAAAAACUAAUUGUACAGUUUAUCUGUAAUUUAUGAGACGAAUCUUUUGAGACUAGUUACUCUGUGAUUGGAGAAUAUUUAUCAUAUAAAAAAAAGUGCUAUAGUAGAAAAAAACAAAAAUUUUACGAACUAGGCACGCCAUCCGUCUGCGCACCUGAGCUGCCAUGUGCUCCUACUGCUGCUGAUGAUGAUUGAUGCUACACUCUUUUACACUGUGCAGCAGGGGUGUUGAUGCUAUGUCAGUUAGGCCUUGUUUAGUUCGUGAAAAAUUUUAGGUUUCGCUACUAUAGUAUUUUUGGCCUUUUUGACAAUUAUUAUUCAAUUAUAGACUAACUAGGCUUAAAAAAUUCGCCUCGCAGAUUACAAGUAAACCGUGCAAUUAGUUAUCUUUUUUAUCUAUAUUUAAUGCUUUAUACAUGUGCCAC
Molecule: long non-coding RNA, 863 nt
Filed under: Sorghum bicolor (sorghum)
Lineage: Eukaryota; Viridiplantae; Streptophyta; Magnoliopsida; Poales; Poaceae
Description: long non-coding RNA (SBIC_LNC015196)
Source: RNAcentral